ACGACAAUAUCACAUUAAAACACCGGUUUUCAUAUGAUCAUCAAAGUUAAGCAAUGUCAAUCGUGGUCAGUACCUAGAUGGGUGACCACUUGGAAAUACCAUGUGCUGUUA
Molecule: non-coding RNA, 111 nt
Organism: Acanthosepion pharaonis
Lineage: Eukaryota; Metazoa; Mollusca; Cephalopoda; Sepiida; Sepiidae
Source: the annotation of a GenBank genome assembly